This 207-nucleotide long non-coding RNA is filed under the name Elaeis guineensis (African oil palm). Its description in RNAcentral is "long non-coding RNA (EGUI_LNC020256)". The record is from RNAcentral. Lineage: Eukaryota; Viridiplantae; Streptophyta; Magnoliopsida; Arecales; Arecaceae.
CCCCCUUUCAUCAUCAAUUUAUUUGGUUUGCCAUCUUGCUCAGCCACUAUAGCUUUUAUUCUGGUUAGCUAUUGUUGGAUUUUUUCUUAGAAGGCCCGACCUUGUUAUUUCCUUUGUUUUUCACUAUUUUUCUUUAGUUAUUCCAGUUGUUCAUCACUGUUGAUCGCUGGUGGUUGAACUCCCAGUUGCGCCACCAUGGCUCUAGCC